Molecule: transfer RNA, 72 nt
Filed under: Ovis aries (sheep)
Lineage: Eukaryota; Metazoa; Chordata; Mammalia; Artiodactyla; Bovidae
Rfam family: tRNA
About the family: Transfer RNA (tRNA) molecules are approximately 80 nucleotides in length. Their secondary structure includes four short double-helical elements and three loops (D, anti-codon, and T loops).
Source: Rfam by way of RNAcentral
UCCCUGCUGGCUCAGACGGUAAAGAAUCCGCCUGCAAAGCAGAAGACCUGGGUCCGAUCCCUGGGUCGGGAA